UUGCCAAAAUUCCACAUUGAGAAGUCUGUUUAGGAUAUGGGAAAAUGAUUAUUUUACCAUUUCUAUGCUACCAACAACAUCAAUCGAUGUUGUUGUUGUUGUUGUAUGCUACCAAUGAAGUAAUAGAACUUACCGGCAAGUUUUAGCAGCUCUUCCAUGGAUUCAGCUGCUGCUUGUUUACUGGUCUUGACUGGGAUGCUGGAGAUGCAAUGUGAGUCGGAUUUUUGCGAACAAAAACCGUAAGAGGGGGAUUGUAGGAGGUCAAAAGGAAGUGGUCAGACUUACAAAACUUCUGGUGCGGCUAGUCCAGUGAACCACGAGGUUGGUCAUAUUCCCGAUCAGGAUAUCUAUCUGCAAUUAGGUAGUUGAAGCAUCCGGCACAAUGUACUGCAAACAGGGUAACCUGAGAUUGACAAGAACAAAAAUAGUUGAAACGGAUAUCUUUCUCAAGCCUUAAGGAAAGAGAAAAGCAGGAGAAUAAGUACUACAUCCAUCUUCCAAGUUGAACAGCAGACUCAGUGACUGGAAGGGCGCUGUUGAACACACAUCAAAGGCAAACCACGUAGAGAGGACUGUCAACUAGAAGAUAAGAGUGGCUGUCGAGAUAUGCCACAAAGAAGGUGAUGAAGGCAAAUUCAAAGGGACAGAUCAACGCCGAGUAAAUGACCAGAAUGACCAGCCACAUCUCCCAUGCCCUGAAUCAAAAACCCAAGCGGCAGUCAAGCAGAGGACUGGAACAGAACUCAUCAACGUAAGUACAUGAAAGAAUUUAUGGAUAAUCUCACCUAUAACGUGGAUCAAAAGGAGAGAUUAUAUGUUUACGAAGCUUGGUGGAGUGGUUUAUUCUGGCUCCAAGUGACGGCAAAAGAUCGGCAGAGAGGAAACUGCUGUGUUUGAUCGUGUCCAUUGGGGUAAGGCUCCUUUAGCAAGGUAGUUAUAAAUGGUGAUGAAGGUUGUGACAAGUGACAGGGGCUAACGUUCUCCUUUAUUUUUCCCUCGUUUCUGUUGUGACUUUUAUACCAACUUGCACUGACCCAUUGUUUUUCCUCUUCUGACAAAAAUGAAUGUUACAGAGGGAGGUUUAAGGCCUUUCACAAGUGCGCCAUUAACACCCCAAACCCACAAGGUAAAAAAAAAAAGGAAAAAGAAGAAUGGUUAAGGGUGGUACUCUUUUUCUACCCUGAGAGAACCACAACAGGUGAAUAAGAGGUGAGAAAAAUGUGGAACGAUCCGCGUUAUACAGGGAGAAGGAGAUGGCGGUAAGUGGAAGACAAUAAGCUUUUGCAGCAAUGCCAGACUUUCUUUUUCUUUUUUCCUUUAGCAGGUAGUGAAAGUUUUGAACCAGAGAGAGAGAGAGAGAGAGAGAGAGAGGAUGCAAUCUGGUAAUGGGGUUUCUACUCGAUGAGAUGGUGAUGGUGGUGGGAGAUCCAUUUUCUCACCAUUCGAAGGUGGGAAUGAUAUAUAGGCAUACGCACAGACAAAAGAGGAAUCCGGAAAUGGACCAAGUGCAAAAGAAAGAAAAGAUGGCCUUUGACAGAAUAUUUUUCAAGGGCCAGAGGAUAAUUUUUUUUAGUAUUCCUUAAGGAUCUUUUUCCUUUUUAUUCCGUCUUAAAAACCAAUCAUUAGUAUACGGUAUGCAUUUCAAACACUACUUAAAAUUUUCUUUUGAGAAAAAAAAACUUCUUGAUCAAUAUUUGAAUAUAGCUUCCAUUUUGGAAAUGGUUAACGCUUUUAAGUAUUCUUACCAGAGCGAAUGGAGCUUUGCUGCUUAGUUACGGAUGCCACGUGGAGCAAGAGCAGCUCUCCAUGUCAGAUUCCACAGCUUUUUCUCUCUCCCCUCUUCCCCUCCCCGAGAACCAGAGGAGGUUUCAGUAGUAGUAGUUUUUGGUGCAAAAACGGAGCCUCUAACUAUGAAUUUAGCGAAGGCACGCGGUUGGUUCUAUUCUAUGUGGUGACACUUCGAGAUGCCGUUUCCUUCGACCAGUGGACCCUCUGGUGAUUUUGGUGACUCUUCUCUCAACAGAUUCAAUUUACAAUGAAGAACGAUGAUUUCACUUCAAGAAGAAAAAAAAACUAAGGUUAUAAGGGAAAACUGGUGAGAAGCAAAAAAAAAGAGAGAGAGAAGAGGAUGAAAUAAAGGUAAAGAGAAAUCUUUGUGGUGGAUCUCAUAGGACAAAGGCAGAGGGCAACAGGGCAGUGGUCCUUUGAGAACAAUGAUGGUUGCCCUCACCUUGCCCCUCAUCUAGCCCUUCAAAGAUACGUGGUCCGUUUAGUUUUUUUUUUUAAACGUGUUACCAAGUCCAUGCGUAUGCACAAAGGAAACUCUUGACUUCUCAUUAGCUUUUUACAGACCUAACAAUUAAGCCCUCAAACGAAAAACUAGUGUGAUUAAAACAAUCCAUGAUA
This is a long non-coding RNA of Tarenaya hassleriana, 2406 nucleotides long. RefSeq lists it as uncharacterized. The record is from RefSeq and is a predicted model, not a curated record. The transcript has 12 exons. Lineage: Eukaryota; Viridiplantae; Streptophyta; Magnoliopsida; Brassicales; Cleomaceae.